This 420-nucleotide ribosomal RNA is filed under the name Chloroflexota bacterium. Its description in RNAcentral is "Chloroflexi bacterium partial 16S ribosomal RNA". It matches the Rfam family "Bacterial small subunit ribosomal RNA", at positions 355 to 776 of the family's 1533-position model. Lineage: Bacteria; Bacillati; Chloroflexota. The record is from RNAcentral.
UGGGGGAUAUUGCACAAUGGGCGAAAGCCUGAUGCAGCGACGCCGCGUGGGGGAUGAAGGCUUUCGGGUUGUAAACCUCUUUCGCUUUCGAACAAGGCCCGCUUAGGGUGGGUUGAGGGUAGGUGGAGAAGAAGCGCCGGCUAACUACGUGCCAGCAGCCGCGGUAAUACGUAGGGCGCGAGCGUUGUCCGGAAUUAUUGGGCGUAAAGGGCUUGUAGGCGGCUUGUUGCGCCUGCUGUGAAAACGCGGGGCUUAACUUCGCGCGUGCAGUGGGUACGGGCAGGCUUGAGUGUGGUAGGGGUGACUGGAAUUCCAGGUGUAGCGGUGGAAUGCGUAGAGAUGUGGAGGAAUACCGGUGGCGAAGGCGGCCCCCUGGACAAAGACUGACGCUCAGGUGCGAAAGCGUGGGGAGCAAACAGG